Eptesicus fuscus (big brown bat) is the source of this 100-nucleotide small nucleolar RNA. RefSeq annotates it as small nucleolar RNA U13. The record is from RefSeq and is a predicted model, not a curated record. The transcript has a single exon. Lineage: Eukaryota; Metazoa; Chordata; Mammalia; Chiroptera; Vespertilionidae.
AUGAACAGGUAGUUCAUAAGUGUGAUGAUUGGGUGUCACGCUCUUUUGUGAGAUGUGUCUCCCUCAAACCUUGUUACAUCAGCACAUUACCCGAGUGAUG